AUACGUAGGUGGCAAGCGUUGUCCGGAUUUAUUGGGCGUAAAGCGAGCGCAGGCGGUUUCUUAAGUCUGAUGUGAAAGCCCCCGGCUCAACCGGGGAGGGUCAUUGGAAACUGGGAGACUUGAGUGCAGAAGAGGAGAGUGUAAUUCCAUGUGUAGCGGUGAAAUGCGUAGAUAUAUGGAGGAACACCAGUGGCGAAGGCGACUCUCAGGUCUGUAACGGACGCUGAGGCUCGAAAGCGUGGGGAGCAAACAGGAUUAUAUCCCCUGGUAGUCCACGCCGUAAACGAUGAGUGCUAAGUGUUGGAGGGUUUCCGCCCUUCAGUGCUGCAGCUAACGCAUUAAGCUCUCCGCCUGGGGAGUACGACCGCAAGGUUGAAACUCAAAUGAAUUGGCGGGG
Molecule: ribosomal RNA, 397 nt
Filed under: uncultured bacterium
Lineage: Bacteria
Description: partial 16S ribosomal RNA
Rfam family: Bacterial small subunit ribosomal RNA
Source: RNAcentral